This is a long non-coding RNA of Gorilla gorilla gorilla (western lowland gorilla), 1297 nucleotides long. RefSeq lists it as uncharacterized. NCBI's taxonomy places the organism in Eukaryota, Metazoa, Chordata, Mammalia, Primates, Hominidae. The record is from RefSeq and is a predicted model, not a curated record. The transcript is spliced from 2 exons.
UUUCAACAGAUGAAUAUGGUGGUGGGGGGGUGUAAACAUUCCGAUCGCAGCGGCCACCCACCUAUCACCUUGGUCUGGGGUGUAGCAGGCAUUGCCAGGGCUCAGCCAAAGCCGGGCUCCAGCUGCUCGUGGAGAUAACAAAGGCUUCUGUGGCCUCAUCUACUUCAUUGUGACGAGGUCGAGGCUGUAAGGGGCCAAGUGGAUGAUUUAGCUCAACAGCUAAAUGAUGUUCUGUGAGAAAGGGACUGAGGCUGCCGUGGACAGUGGUCAUCUCGGGCUUCGAAGUAUCUAUUCCAGCUUCCUAAGGGCUCACCCUUGUCCUGGGGUGAAAUGAUCCUCCCACCACGCCCACAGCCCACGGUGGAGGGGUCAUUCCUGGCACCUCCUCCCGCAAUUGGAUUACAAGGGUUCCCAGGCCGAGUCCACUCCGCGGCUGCGUAAGAGGUCAAUGUGAAGUCAACGUCUAAUGGACCCGAGUACAGCCAAGAACACAGACCAGUUGUUCCAGGGAAGAAUCUCAUGGUGAAGCACUAGUGAGCGUCCAAGCAACUCCCAGCCUAACCUCAGGGGUCUGACUGUGGGGCUGCUUCUGCCACGGCUCCUGGCUGGCGAUGGGGCUGUCAGCGCGUCAGCCAACCAUGCAUUGCAGAUGCACUUUGAAGAAAAUUAAUGUACCUGGGUACUUAUGGGACUCCCUGCAUGAGUGGGUAUAAUUGAAAUAGCCGGGACAUCAAAAAGCUGGAACAUUGGGAGCCUGGCCCUAGGGUGGCGGAGGCCACAACGGAGCCCCCAGCCGGUUGGAAAGAGGCUUCCUAUGCUCUCCUUUCCAUGCCACUGCGGAAGUGCUAGGGAACAGGAAGACCAGGGCAUUGCCAAGUGAAUAAUAACAACCAUAUGUGCAGCGUUCACGAUACCCCAGGCUCAGUGAGCCUUUUACUCAGGGUCUCAUGUGAUGCUGAAAACAAUCCCAUGAAGUUUAGAAGCCUGUGCACACGAAGAGAAGUGGUGUUUCCCUAUUGAUCCAAACUGCGUGCUGACCUGUUCCUGCCAGGGCUGCGCUCCUCCUGCUUUGCCCUGGUUCUCCCGUUCUGCACUCCCUCUUCUGCCGGGAAUUCCUGGAAGCACCUUUUAUUCACAGUGCCUGCUUUGAAUAGAUACAAAUGCAAUUUGUAUCUUAUGUAGUCCAUUCCACACAAUUGAAAAUAUAAUGUAAUAAAAAUCAGAAAAGUAAAUCCAGUAAAGUCUCUAACACAUAUUAGGGCCUCAAUAAAUGGACCCUAAGAGGGUGGGGAAAUGG